GUAUUGAUAGAGCAAAAUGUUUUCUUAAAUCAAGGGAAUAGUCUUAGAACAGAUCUAUGAUUUUGUGCAGAAAAUCCAUUUGUUUGGGAGCUUUUCCUCCUCUCUUUGGCAAAUAAAUGGCAAAUGUGAAACAGACAAAAAUAUGAAUAACAAGUUGUGAUAAUAACUGUACAAGUAACAACAAAGUAGAUCAGUCAGUGGGAUAGAUUCACUCAGCAGGGCUUGGCUUUAUACUCUUUGCUGUCACUCCUUUUAUUCAUUUUUGUGAUCAAACAGAAGGAUUGAUAUGAUAAUGUUUCAGAGGCUUUAGGCAUCAUACUUUUUGCCAGUCCUGUGAAUCUGCUGGAAGAGUGUCAUGGAGAAGGCCAUGCCAAGAAUCUGCAUUAUAAAGAUACACAUCCCAGUUGAGCCAAGGACAUGCUUAUUCUCAUCAAACCAAGUCAUAACUUUCUCAUAACAUCCCGUUUUCCAUACUAAUUCAGUGGAAUUCCGUCCACAGUCUUGAGAGUUUUCUGUACAACAUCGGUCGGGGACAAUGUUUUCUCCCAGUACUGGGUACCAAUCCGUAAAGUCAUUUACACCACAGCAUUUCAUCUCUGCUUGAAUGAUAUUCCAUGCAUUUUUCAGUCCAACAUUAUUUUCUGAAUUGUACAGCUUCAUACCUUCCUUCAAAUCCUUCUUUGCGCUCUCACUGACCUUGUCCAUAUAAACAAAGAACAAAAUGAGUAAAAUCAGCU
RNAcentral lists this long non-coding RNA (737 nucleotides) under Gallus gallus (chicken). Lineage: Eukaryota; Metazoa; Chordata; Aves; Galliformes; Phasianidae. The record is from RNAcentral.